UACAUGGGGUGCAAACGUUGCUCGGAAUUAUUGGGCGUAAAGCGCGCGUAGGCGGUUACUCAAGUCGGAUGUGAGAGCCCUCGGCUUAACUGAGGAAGUGCACCCGAAACUGAGUAGCUAGAGUACUAAAGAGGGUCGCGGAAUUCCCGGUGUAGAGGUGAAAUUCGUAGAUAUCGGGAGGAACACCGGUGGCGAAGGCGGCGACCUGGGUAGAUACUGACGCUGAGGCGCGAAAGCGUGGGGAGCAAACAGG
Molecule: ribosomal RNA, 253 nt
Filed under: uncultured bacterium
Lineage: Bacteria
Description: partial 16S ribosomal RNA
Rfam family: Bacterial small subunit ribosomal RNA
Source: RNAcentral